This 426-nucleotide ribosomal RNA is filed under the name uncultured Actinomycetes bacterium. Its description in RNAcentral is "bacterial SSU rRNA". It matches the Rfam family "Bacterial small subunit ribosomal RNA", at positions 233 to 671 of the family's 1533-position model. The record is from RNAcentral. Lineage: Bacteria; Bacillati; Actinomycetota; Actinomycetes.
GCGGCCUAUCAGCUUGUUGGUGAGGUAAAGGCUCACCAAGGCUACGACGGGUAACCGGCCUGAGAGGGCGACCGGUCACACUGGGACUGAGACACGGCCCAGACUCCUACGGGAGGCAGCAGUGGGGAAUAUUGCGCAAUGGGCGAAAGCCUGACGCAGCGACGCCGCGUGAGGGAUGAAGGUCUUCGGAUUGUAAACCUCUUUCAGCAGGGACGAGGCGAAAGUGACGGUACCUGCAAAAGAAGCACCGGCUAACUACGUGCCAGCAGCCGCGGUAAUACGUAGGGUGCAAGCGUUGUCCGGAUUUAUUGGGCGUAAAGAGCUCGUAGGCGGUUAGACACGUCGGAUGUGAAAACUGGGGGCUCAACCCCCAGCCUGCAUUCGAUACGGUCUGACUAGAGUGUGGUAGGGGAGACUGGAAUUCCU